RNAcentral lists this ribosomal RNA (78 nucleotides) under Oceanimonas baumannii. The record is from RNAcentral. Lineage: Bacteria; Pseudomonadati; Pseudomonadota; Gammaproteobacteria; Aeromonadales; Aeromonadaceae.
UGCCGAACUCAGUAGUGAAACGCGACCGCGCCGAUGAUAGUGUGGCAGCUGCCAUGUGAAAGUAGGUCACUGCCAGGC